This 496-nucleotide ribosomal RNA is filed under the name uncultured bacterium. RNAcentral's name for it is "partial 16S ribosomal RNA". It matches the Rfam family "Bacterial small subunit ribosomal RNA", at positions 28 to 506 of the family's 1533-position model. The record is from RNAcentral.
GAUGAACGCUGGCGGCGUGCCUAAUACAUGCAAGUCGAGCGAACAGACGAGGAGCUUGCUCCUCUGACGUUAGCGGCGGACGGGUGAGUAACACGUGGAUAACCUACCUAUAAGACUGGGAUAACUUCGGGAAACCGGAGCUAAUACCGGAUAAUAUAUUGAACCGCAUGGUUCAAUAGUGAAAGACGGUUUUGCUGUCACUUAUAGAUGGAUCCGCGCCGCAUUAGCUAGUUGGUAAGGUAACGGCUUACCAAGGCAACGAUGCGUAGCCGACCUGGGAGGGUGAUCGGCCACACUGGAACUGAGACACGGUCCAGACUCCUACGGGAGGCAGCAGUAGGGAAUCUGCCGCAAUGGGCGAAAGCCUGACGGAGCAACGCCGCGUGAGUGAUGAAGGUCUUCGGAUCGUAAAACUCUGUUAUUAGGGAAGAACAAAUGUGUAAGUAACUAUGCACGUCUUGACGGUACCUAAUCAGAAAGCCACGGCUAACUACGU